UUCGGAAUCACUGGGCUUACAGGGUGCGUAGGCGGCUUGUUAAGUAGGGUGUGAAAGCCCCCGGCUCAACCGGGGAAUGGCGCCCUAAACUGGCGAGCUAGAGUGAGAUAGGGGUGUGUGGAACUUCCGGUGGAGCGGUGAAAUGUGUUGAUAUCGGAAGGAACGCCGGUGGCGAAAGCGACACACUGGAUCUUGUCUGACGCUGAGGCACGAAAGCCAGGGGAGCGAACGGG
This 233-nucleotide ribosomal RNA is filed under the name uncultured bacterium. Its description in RNAcentral is "partial 16S ribosomal RNA". It matches the Rfam family "Bacterial small subunit ribosomal RNA", at positions 544 to 776 of the family's 1533-position model. The record is from RNAcentral.